Molecule: ribosomal RNA, 425 nt
Filed under: uncultured bacterium
Lineage: Bacteria
Description: partial 16S ribosomal RNA
Rfam family: Bacterial small subunit ribosomal RNA
Source: RNAcentral
GUGGGGAAUAUUGGACAAUGGGCGCAAGCCUGAUCCAGCAAUUCCGCGUGAGCGAAGAAGGCCUUCGGGUUGUAAAGCUCUUUCGGCGGGGACGAUAAUGACGGUACCCGCAGAAGAAGCCCCGGCUAACUCCGUGCCAGCAGCCGCGGUAAUACGGAGGGGGCUAGCGUUGUUCGGAAUCACUGGGCGUAAAGCGCACGUAGGCGACUACUCCAGUCAGAGGUGAAAGCCCGGGGCUCAACUCCGGAAUUGCCUUUGAAACUAGGUAGCUUGAACGUCGGAGAGGUAAGUGGAAUUCCGAGUGUAGAGGUGAAAUUCGUAGAUAUUCGGAAGAACACCAGUGGAGAAGGCGACUUACUGGACGACUGUUGACGCUGAGGUGCGAAAGCGUGGGGAGCAAACAGGAUUAGAUACCCGAGUAGUCC